This 439-nucleotide ribosomal RNA is filed under the name uncultured bacterium. Its description in RNAcentral is "partial 16S ribosomal RNA". It matches the Rfam family "Bacterial small subunit ribosomal RNA", at positions 339 to 795 of the family's 1533-position model. The record is from RNAcentral.
CUACGGGUUGCAGCAGCGAGGAAUAUUGCACAAUGGAGGAAACUCUGAUGCAGCAACGCCGCGUGGAGGAUGACGCAUUUCGGUGUGUAAACUCCUUUUAUAUGUCAAGAAAAUGACGGUAGCAUAUGAAUAAGCACCGGCUAACUCCGUGCCAGCAGCCGCGGUAAUACGGAGGGUGCAAGCGUUACUCGGAAUCACUGGGCGUAAAGGACGCGUAGGCGGGAUAUCAAGUCAGGUGUGAAAUCCUACAGCUUAACUGUAGAACUGCACUUGAAACUGGUAACCUAGAGUAUGGGAGGGGGAGAUGGAAUUAGUGGUGUAGGGGUAAAAUCCGUAGAUAUCACUAGGAAUACCUAAAGCGAAGGCGAUCUCCUGGAACAUAACUGACGCUAAGGCGUGAAAGCGUGGGGAGCAAACAGGAUUAGAUACCCCCGUAGUC